Molecule: non-coding RNA, 79 nt
Organism: Podarcis lilfordi (Lilford's wall lizard)
Lineage: Eukaryota; Metazoa; Chordata; Lepidosauria; Squamata; Lacertidae
Source: the annotation of a GenBank genome assembly
UCUCUCUCUCUCUCUCUCUCUCUCUCUAUGUGUGUGUGUGUGUGUGUGUGUGAGAGAGAGAGAGAGAGAGAGAGAGAGA